UCGGGAAUCUUGCACAAUGGGCGAAAGCCUGAUGCAGCGACGCCGCGUGGAGGAUGAAGGCCCUAGGGUCGUAAACUCCUUUUAUCAGGGAAUACUUAGAAGGUACCUGAUGAAUAAGCCAUUGCUAACUACGUGCCAGCAGCCGCGGUGAUACGUAGAUGGCGAGCGUUAUCCGGAAUUACUGGGCGUAAAGAGGUGCGUAGGUGGAGAACUGCGUCGUUUCUUAAAAGGUGAGGCUCAACCUUACCCUUGGAUACGAUACGGGUUUUCUAGAGGGAAGUAGAGGCAAGCGGAACUUCCGGUGGAGCAGUGAAAUGCGUUGAUAUCGGAAGGAACACCAAAGGCGAAGGCAGCUUGCUGGGCUUUUCCUGACACUUAGGCCCGAAAGCGUAGGGAGCGAACCGG
This 405-nucleotide ribosomal RNA is filed under the name uncultured bacterium. Its description in RNAcentral is "bacterial SSU rRNA". It matches the Rfam family "Bacterial small subunit ribosomal RNA", at positions 355 to 776 of the family's 1533-position model. The record is from RNAcentral.